CCCUUAGAUGUCCGGGGCCGCACGCGCGUUACACUGAAGGAAUCAGCGUGGCUUUCUCCCUGACCCGAAAGGGUUGGGAAACCCGUUGAAUAUCCUUCGUGAUAGGGAUUGGGGCUUGAAAUUGUUCCCCAUGAACGAGGAAUUCCCAGUAAGCGCGAGUCAUAAGCUCGCGUUGAUUACGUCCCUGCCCUUUGUACACACCGCCCGUCGCUACUACCGAUUGAACGGUUUAGUGAGGGCCUCGGAUUGGUCUCGGCCCGCUCUUUACCGGGCGGCGCCGUUGGUCGAGAAGACGCUCGAACUUGAUCGUUUAGAGGAAGUAAAAGUCGUAACA
Molecule: ribosomal RNA, 334 nt
Filed under: uncultured eukaryote
Lineage: Eukaryota
Description: partial 18S ribosomal RNA
Rfam family: Eukaryotic small subunit ribosomal RNA
Source: RNAcentral